GAUGAACGCUGGCGGCGUGCCUAAUACAUGCAAGUCGAGCGAACAGAUGAGGAGCUUGCUCCUCUGACGUUAGCGGCGGACGGGUGAGUAACACGUGGAUAACCUACCUAUAAGACUGGGAUAACUUCGGGAAACCGGAGCUAAUACCGGACAAUAUAUUGAACCGCAUGGUUCAAUAGUGAAAGACGGUUUUGCUGUCACUUAUAGAUGGAUCCGCGCCGCAUUAGCUAGUUGGUAAGGUAACGGCUUACCAAGGCAACGAUGCGUAGCCGACCUGAGAGGGUGAUCGGCCACACUGGAACUGAGCCACGGUCCAGACUCCUACGGGAGGCAGCAGUAGGGAAUCUUCCGCAAUGGGCGAAAGCCUGACGGAGCAACGCCGCGUGAGUGAUGAAGGUCUUCGGAUCGUAAAACUCUGUUAUUAGGGAAGAACAAAUGUGUAAGUAACUAUGCACGUCUUGACGGUACCUAAUCAGAAAGCCACGGCUAACUACGUG
RNAcentral lists this ribosomal RNA (497 nucleotides) under uncultured bacterium. Its description in RNAcentral is "partial 16S ribosomal RNA". It matches the Rfam family "Bacterial small subunit ribosomal RNA", at positions 28 to 507 of the family's 1533-position model. The record is from RNAcentral.